UCUGUAGGUGAACCUGCAGAUGGAUCAUUUC
RNAcentral lists this ribosomal RNA (31 nucleotides) under Moesziomyces antarcticus. Its description in RNAcentral is "partial 18S ribosomal RNA". The record is from RNAcentral. Lineage: Eukaryota; Fungi; Basidiomycota; Ustilaginomycetes; Ustilaginales; Ustilaginaceae.